AGAGCGAACGCUGGCGGCGUGCCUAACACAUGCAAGUCGCACGAGAAAGGGGAGCAAUCCCUGAGUAAAGUGGCGCACGGGUGAGUAACACGUGAAUCAUCUACCUCCGAGUGGGGAAUAACCUAGAGAAAUCUGGGCUAAUACCGCAUAACACUUACGAGUCAAAGCAGCAAUGCGCUUGGAGAGGAGUUCGCGGCCGAUUAGUUAGUUGGCGGGGUAAUGGCCCACCAAGACGAUGAUCGGUA
Molecule: ribosomal RNA, 245 nt
Filed under: uncultured bacterium
Lineage: Bacteria
Description: partial small subunit ribosomal RNA
Rfam family: Bacterial small subunit ribosomal RNA
Source: RNAcentral